AAAAAACCUGGGGGAUGUUCUGUGUGUAGGGGUGAAAGGCCAAUCAAACUCCGUGAUAGCUGGUUCUCCCCGAAAUGCAUUUAGGUGCAGCGUUGCGUGUUUCUUGCCGGAGGUAGAGCACUGGAUGGCUAAUGGGCCCGACAAGGUUACUGACGUCAGCCAAACUCCGAAUGCCGGUAAGUGAGAGCGUGGCAGUGAGACUGCGGGCGAUAAGGUUCGUAGUCGAGAGGGAAACAGCCCAGAUCACCGACUAAGGCCCCUAAGCGUGUGCUAAGUGGGAAAGGAUGUGGAGUCGCAGAGACAACCAGGAGGUUGGCUUAGAAGCAGCCACCCUUGAAAGAGUGCGUAAUAGCUCACUGGUCAAGUGAUUCCGCGCCGACAAUGUAGCGGGGCUCAAGUACACCGCUAAGUCGUGGCAUUGAUGGGUUCUUCGGAGCUUGUUGAUGGGUAGGGGAGCGUCGUGCAGCCGGCGAAGCAGCAGAGUGAUCUAGUUGUGGAGGCUGUGCGAGUGAGAAUGCAGGCAUGAGUAGCGAAUCGAGGGUGAGAAACCCUCGCGCCGGAUGACCAAGGGUUCCUGGGGCAGGCUAAUCCGCCCAGGGUAAGUCGGGACCUAAGGCGAGGCCGACAGGCGUAGUCGAUGGACAACGGGUUGAUAUUCCCGUACCCGCUUCAAUGCGCCCAUAUCGAACCUCGUGAUGCUAAGAGUCCUUAAGUCCUCUGAUGUCCUUCGGGACUAGGGGUGAGGCUGAACGCUCGAUCCGAUCGGGUAGUAGGUAAGCGAUGGGGUGACGCAGGAAGGUUGUCCAGCCCAGGCGAUGGUUGUCCUGGGGUAAGCAUGUAGGGCGGAACGUAGGUAAAUCCGCGUUCUAUUCAGCCUGAGAUGUGAUGCCGAGCCGAUUGUGGUGAAGUGGAUGAUCCUAUGCUGCCGAGAAAAGCCUCUAGUGAGUGUUGUGGCGGCCCGUACCCUAAACCGACUCAGGUGGUCAGGUAGAGAAUACCAAGGCGAUCGGGUGAACUGUGGUUAAGGAAUUCGGCAAAUUGCCCCUGUAACUUCGGGAGAAGGGGGACCUCUGCUGGUGAUGGGCUUUACGUUCUGAGCUGGUGGGGGUCGCAGUGGCCAGGGGGAAGCGACUGUUUACUAAAAACACAGGUCCGUGCGAAGUCGUAAGACGAUGUAUACGGACUGACGCCUGCCCGGUGCCGGAACGUUAAGGGGACCGCUUAGCCAACGCGAGUUGGCGAAGGUGAGAACUUAAGCGCCGGUAAACGGCGGUGGUAACUAUAACCAUCCUAAGGUAGCGAAAUUCCUUGUCGGGUAAGUUCCGACCUGCACGAAUGGCGUAACGACUUCCCCGCUGUCUCAACCACAGACCCGGCGAAAUUGCACUACGAGUAAAGAUGCUCGAUUCGCGCAGCAGGACGGAAAGACCCCGGGACCUUCACUACAGCUUGACAUUGGCGCUUGGAACGUCUUGUGUAGGAUAGGUGGGAGACUGGGAAGCUGUCACGCUAGUGAUGGUGGAGUCAUUGGUGAAAUACCACUCUGGUCGUUUUGAACGUCUAACUCUGGUCCGUGAUCCGGAUCGGGGACAGUGUCUGGUGGGUAGUUUAACUGGGGCGGUUGCCUCCUAAAGAGUAACGGAGGCGCCCAAAGGUUCCCUCAGCCUGGUUGGCAAUCAGGUGUUGAGUGUAAGUGCACAAGGGAGCUUGACUGUGAGACUGACAGGUCGAGCAGGAGCGAAAGCUGGGACUAGUGAUCCGGCAUCGGCGUGU
RNAcentral lists this ribosomal RNA (1773 nucleotides) under metagenome. RNAcentral's name for it is "bacterial LSU rRNA". It matches the Rfam family "Bacterial large subunit ribosomal RNA", at positions 790 to 2434 of the family's 2925-position model. The record is from RNAcentral.